This is a long non-coding RNA of Teleopsis dalmanni, 1982 nucleotides long. RefSeq lists it as uncharacterized. The record is from RefSeq and is a predicted model, not a curated record. The transcript is spliced from 6 exons. Lineage: Eukaryota; Metazoa; Arthropoda; Insecta; Diptera; Diopsidae.
CACAAAGAAGAAUGUAAAAUAUGGAUCAAGUUCAAUGCCAAAAGAAAGUAAAAAAAAACUACUGGUGUAUUUUACUGGUCAUUGUAAUCAUAUAUAGUGUAGAGCAAUUGGUGGAACAUAUUUCGGCAUGAGGUUGUUGAUAAAAUGAAAGCUAAAUGAAUAAAGCAAAUUUGGCAAUAUACACAAGAAGUUAGUGUUGGUAAUAGUGGUACUCUACUGCAGUAAACGAUAACGUCGUUUUAAGGAUAAUAUUGAUAUCAGAUUGAUUACAGAAACAAGGCAGUUGCCAUACUUAUUCAACGAUAUUAGUGAUCCAGAAAAAUUAAACGGCAUACAAUAUAAAAAAAUUAUGUUAUAUAUAUAUUGUAUUAUAUGUAUAUUGUAGCUACGGGAACUUCAUGACCAUCUCAGCUGCAAUUUUAAUUCAGUCAAGAUGAAAUAUUGUCAAAAAAUAGAAAGCGUUGCAGUAAGCCAAUGAAAACAGUAUCUCAAAGGCAACGUUGGAGUGUUUAUGUCGAAGCUCAGGUUAUGCUAACCAUUGUUCAAAUAUUUGAAUUGAUCUAUUAAUUUGCAUAAAUAUACAAAGUUUUGAAAAAUUUUGGAGUCCGGCAAUUGCGUCGAUAUUUUCAAUAUAUAAUACAAUCAAGGGAGGGAUUGCCUCGAGGUGAAAAUUAGUUAUUAAUGAUUGAGUUCACCACUCUAAGCAUGGUUCGCGCAAUCCGAAAGCAACAGUACUUCUCUUCGAUGUAUCUAAUUCAUCUGAAGUUCAGAAAUACGGAACACUAUCCGAUUGUAAGGAUUGUCAUAUUCCAUAACGAUUAUCAUAAAAAUUUCAACGCUAUAGUUAAGAAUAGCUCAAGAGGAUGAAGAAACUCUAAUGAAAAGCUGCGAUACUUUACAAGACUUUGUCAUUUAAUACCAAUUUGGAAGCAUACUAGCAUAUGGAUGUUAGCACACGAGUAACUACUUUUUCAUAUAGAGACCAAUGCAAGUGCAAUAUUCAUUUGUAGUGGCCACAGAAAUAAGUUAGAGUUGGCAAAAACUAUAAACUGAGUUCUUGUGGAAUAUUUGAAAAUUAACACAGUGAUGGAAAAUUUUCUGGGAUUGUGUCCUUUUAAUAUGACAUUAGUUGCUAUAAAUCUACAUAGAGAUAUGCAAAUGCAAUGCUUGUGAAAAUUACAGACGUUUCUAUCAAGAAUACUUCAGAAAUCUGAAGCAAACCACUAAACCACUAAAAAAGGAACUUAAAACCAAUGAAGAAAAACUAAUUAUAUGACGCGAACACACUAGGAAGUUAAACUAAAAGAAUUUGAAUAUCUAGGCAACACGUAAUGCUCAACGUACAUAAAGACCUACCCAAAGACCAAUCAUUAGAAAUAGAUUUGUAGACAAAAACCGUGACAUUGGAAAAUAUAAGUGGUUGUGCAAAAACAAUUCAAAUUUUCAGAACUUCAAAUAUUCAGUUAUUCUAACCUCAUCUAACCUCAUAACAUAGCAAAAAAGAUAUCGCGGUCCAAACAUUUCUAUGGUACCUAUGUUGACAAUAUAUCUAAAAAGUUUUAUAAACUAUUAAUAAACACCUGGAAUGCAAUUGGUAUACAUAACAUACGAUUUAGCAACAGUCCCUGAUUAUGGUACCUGGUAACUCUUACUAUAGCUCAAUUAUAUUGAUUUCAGUAACCAGCAACUAAUGGUCAGUCAAAGAUACAAAGUGUUUAAGAUAUACUGUGAAUUCUUUAUGCCAGCUGCAGGUGAUUAUUUUCAACGUCACUAAGGAAUAUGGAAUGAAAAGAUUGAGUUGAGGAAUGCAUGUUCUAUAUCUUCUGAUUAUGAACUUAACACUUUCUAUACAACAUCAUGAAAUUGCUUGUAUAUAUGAUCUAUCUAUUGGUAUAAAUUUUAAAUAACGUACAUAUAUGUACAUAUGUGAGAACGUUGGAUUUUUACUUGAAAAAUAAGUUGGAGAGCAUAGAACGCAAUUU